This 2936-nucleotide ribosomal RNA is filed under the name Priestia megaterium. RNAcentral's name for it is "23S ribosomal RNA". It matches the Rfam family "Bacterial large subunit ribosomal RNA". Lineage: Bacteria; Bacillati; Bacillota; Bacilli; Caryophanales; Bacillaceae. The record is from RNAcentral.
GGUUAAGUUAGAAAGGGCGCACGGUGAAUGCCUUGGCACUAGGAGCCGAUGAAGGACGGGACUAACACCGAUAUGCUUCGGGGAGCUGUAAGUGAGCUUUGAUCCGGAGAUUUCCGAAUGGGGAAACCCACUGUUCGUAAUGGAACAGUAUCUUUAUCUGAAUACAUAGGAUAUUGAAGGCAGACCCGGGGAACUGAAACAUCUAAGUACCCGGAGGAAGAGAAAGCAAAUGCGAUUUCCUGAGUAGCGGCGAGCGAAACGGAAUUAGCCCAAACCAAGAGGCUUGCCUCUUGGGGUUGUAGGACACUCUAUACGGAGUUACAAAGGAACGAAGUAAAUGAAGCGACCUGGAAAGGUCCGUCGAAGAAGGUAACAACCCUGUAGUUGAAACUUCGUUCCCUCUUGAGUGGAUCCUGAGUACGGCGGAACACGUGAAAUUCCGUCGGAAGCUGGGAGGACCAUCUCCCAAGGCUAAAUACUACCUAGUGACCGAUAGUGAACCAGUACCGUGAGGGAAAGGUGAAAAGCACCCCGGAAGGGGAGUGAAAGAGAUCCUGAAACCGUGUGCCUACAAGUAGUCAGAGCCCGUUAAUGGGUGAUGGCGUGCCUUUUGUAGAAUGAACCGGCGAGUUACGAUCCCAUGCAAGGUUAAGCUGAUAAGGCGGAGCCGUAGCGAAAGCGAGUCUGAAUAGGGCGUUUAGUAUGUGGUUGUAGACCCGAAACCAGGUGAUCUACCCAUGUCCAGGGUGAAGUUCAGGUAACACUGAAUGGAGGCCCGAACCCACGCACGUUGAAAAGUGCGGGGAUGAGGUGUGGGUAGCGGAGAAAUUCCAAUCGAACCUGGAGAUAGCUGGUUCUCUCCGAAAUAGCUUUAGGGCUAGCCUCAUGUUGUGAGAGUCUUGGAGGUAGAGCACUGAUUGGACUAGGGGCCCCCAACGGGUUACCGAAUUCAGUCAAACUCCGAAUGCCAAAGACUUAUCCAUGGGAGUCAGACUGCGAGUGAUAAGAUCCGUAGUCAAAAGGGAAACAGCCCAGACCACCAGCUAAGGUCCCCAAGUAUACGUUAAGUGGAAAAGGAUGUGGAGUUGCUUAGACAACCAGGAUGUUGGCUUAGAAGCAGCCACCAUUUAAAGAGUGCGUAAUAGCUCACUGGUCGAGUGACUCUGCGCCGAAAAUGUACCGGGGCUAAACGUAUCACCGAAGCUGUGGAUUGACAUCUUAGAUGUCAGUGGUAGGAGAGCGUUCUAAGUGCUGUGAAGUCAGACCGUAAGGACUGGUGGAGCGCUUAGAAGUGAGAAUGCCGGUAUGAGUAGCGAAAGACAAGUGAGAAUCUUGUCCACCGAAUGCCUAAGGUUUCCUGAGGAAGGCUCGUCCGCUCAGGGUUAGUCGGGACCUAAGCCGAGGCUGAAAAGCGUAGGCGAUGGCCAACAGGUUGAUAUUCCUGUACCACCUCCCCGCCGUUUGAGUAAUGGGGGGACGCAGUAGGAUAGGGUAAGCGCGCUGCUGGAUAUGCGCGUUCAAGCAGUUAGGCUGAUGAGUAGGCAAAUCCGCUCAUCAUAAAGGCUGAGCUGUGAUGACGAGGGAAUUAUAGUACCGAAGUUCCUGAUUCCACACUGCCAAGAAAAGCCUCUAGCGAGGCGGGAGGUGCCCGUACCGCAAACCGACACAGGUAGGCGAGGAGAGAAUCCUAAGGUGAUCGAGAGAACUCUCGUUAAGGAACUCGGCAAAAUGACCCCGUAACUUCGGGAGAAGGGGUGCUCUGGUAGGGUGUAUAGCCCGAGAGAGCCGCAGUGAAUAGGCCCAGGCGACUGUUUAGCAAAAACACAGGUCUCUGCGAAGCCGCAAGGCGAAGUAUAGGGGCUGACGCCUGCCCGGUGCUGGAAGGUUAAGAGGAGGGGUUAUCCUUUGGGAGAAGCUCUGAAUCGAAGCCCCAGUAAACGGCGGCCGUAACUAUAACGGUCCUAAGGUAGCGAAAUUCCUUGUCGGGUAAGUUCCGACCCGCACGAAAGGCGUAACGAUCUGGGCACUGUCUCAACGAGAGACUCGGUGAAAUUAUAGUACCUGUGAAGAUGCAGGUUACCCGCGACAGGACGGAAAGACCCCGUGGAGCUUUACUGUAGCCUGAUAUUGAAUUUUGGUACAGCUUGUACAGGAUAGGUAGGAGCCUGAGAAGCCGGAGCGCUAGCUUCGGUGGAGGCGUCGGUGGGAUACUACCCUGGCUGUAUUGAAAUUCUAACCCGCGGCCCUGAUCGGGCCGGGAGACAGUGUCAGGUGGGCAGUUUGACUGGGGCGGUCGCCUCCUAAAAUGUAACGGAGGCGCCCAAAGGUUCCCUCAGAAUGGUUGGAAAUCAUUCGUAGAGUGUAAAGGCACAAGGGAGCUUGACUGCGAGACCUACAAGUCGAGCAGGGACGAAAGUCGGGCUUAGUGAUCCGGUGGUUCCGCAUGGAAGGGCCAUCGCUCAACGGAUAAAAGCUACCCCGGGGAUAACAGGCUUAUCUCCCCCAAGAGUCCACAUCGACGGGGAGGUUUGGCACCUCGAUGUCGGCUCAUCGCAUCCUGGGGCUGUAGUCGGUCCCAAGGGUUGGGCUGUUCGCCCAUUAAAGCGGUACGCGAGCUGGGUUCAGAACGUCGUGAGACAGUUCGGUCCCUAUCCGUCGUGGGCGUAGGAAAUUUGAGAGGAGCUGUCCUUAGUACGAGAGGACCGGGAUGGACACACCGCUGGUGUACCAGUUGUCUUGCCAAAGGCAUCGCUGGGUAGCUAUGUGUGGACGGGAUAAGUGCUGAAAGCAUCUAAGCAUGAAGCCCCCCUCAAGAUGAGAUUUCCCAUAGCGUAAGCUAGUAAGAUCCCUGAAAGAUGAUCAGGUUGAUAGGUCAGAGGUGGAAGCGUGGCGACAUGUGUAGCUGACUGAUACUAAUCGAUCGAGGACUUAACCAA